AUUGAACGCUGGCGGCAGGCCUAACACAUGCAAGUCGAGCGGAUGAAGGGAGCUUGCUCCUGGAUUCAGCGGCGGACGGGUGAGUAAUGCCUAGGAAUCUGCCUGGUAGUGGGGGAUAACGUCCGGAAACGGGCGCUAAUACCGCAUACGGCCUGAGGGAGAAAGUGGGGGAUCUUCGGACCUCACGCUAUCAGAUGAGCCUAGGUCGGAUUAGCUAGUUGGUGGGGUAAAGGCCUACCAAGGCGACGAUCCGUAACUGGUCUGAGAGGAUGAUCAGUCACACUGGGACUGAGACACGGUCCAGAGUCCUACGGGAGGCAGCGGUGGGGAAUAUUGGACGAUGGGCGGAAGCCUGAUCCAGGGAUGCCGCGUGUGUGAAGAGGGUCUUCGGAUUGUAAAGCACUUUUAGUGGGGAGGAAGGGCAGUAAGUUAAUACCUGGCUGUUUUGACGGUACCAACAUAAGAAGCACCGGCUAACUUCGUG
RNAcentral lists this ribosomal RNA (484 nucleotides) under uncultured bacterium. RNAcentral's name for it is "partial 16S ribosomal RNA". It matches the Rfam family "Bacterial small subunit ribosomal RNA", at positions 30 to 507 of the family's 1533-position model. The record is from RNAcentral.